UGAGGAAUAUUGGUCAAUGGACGCAAGUCUGAACCAGCCACGUCGCGUGAAGGAAGACGGCCCUACGGGUUGUAAACUUCUUUUAUACGGGAAUAAAGUGCCCCACGUGUGGGGUUUUGCAAGUACCGUAUGAAUAAGGAUCGGCUAACUCCGUGCCAGCAGCCGCGGUAAUACGGAGGAUCCGAGCGUUAUCCGGAUUUAUUGGGUUUAAAGGGUGCUCAGGCGGGAUAUUAAGUCGGCGGUGAAAUUUUGCGGCUCAACCGUAAAAGUGCCUUCGAAACUGGUAUCCUUGAGUGUGGAUGAGGUAGGCGGAAUUUGUGGUGUAGCGGUGAAAUGCAUAGAUAUCACGAGGAACUCCGAUUGCGCAGGCAGCUUACCAAGCCAUAACUGACGCUCAAGCACGAAGGCGUGGGGAUCAAACAGGAUUA
RNAcentral lists this ribosomal RNA (428 nucleotides) under uncultured bacterium. Its description in RNAcentral is "bacterial SSU rRNA". It matches the Rfam family "Bacterial small subunit ribosomal RNA", at positions 355 to 780 of the family's 1533-position model. The record is from RNAcentral.